Molecule: unclassified non-coding RNA, 391 nt
Filed under: uncultured Mortierella
Lineage: Eukaryota; Fungi; Mortierellomycota; Mortierellomycetes; Mortierellales; Mortierellaceae
Description: sequence contains ITS1
Rfam family: 5.8S ribosomal RNA (bases 1-105)
Source: RNAcentral
GAAAUGCGAUACGUAAUGUGAAUUGCAGAAUUCAGUGAAUCAUCAAAUCUUUGAACGCAUAUGGCGCUCGGAGGCUAUCCUCCGAGCAUGUCUGUUUCAGUCUCGGCAAAAACAAGUCUCAGAAAAAGAAAGAAAACCUUUUUUUGGAAUUGGUCGAUGCGGUUACAAGGUGUUUGGACCUAGAAGCCGCUAGACUCAAAUGUCGGAACCCCAAAGCGACCCUUGGCGGGUGCGGGUUUUAAUGUGUCAGAACCUUACGGUUUGCGCGACAUUAGAAACGCCACACCAACAAACGCUGGGCAAGCGAGGCUCCCGCGACAAGAAAAACCGCCUUUUUGGGCGCAACCAAACCUACGAGCUGAAAUUAGACAAGAAUACCCGCUGAAUUUAA